UGUUGGUUCUCCCGCAACGCUACUCUGUUUACCAGGUCAGGUCCGGAAGGAAGCAGCCAGAGCAGACGACGUGUGUGCCGGGAUGUAG
Molecule: signal recognition particle RNA, 88 nt
Filed under: Klebsiella pneumoniae
Lineage: Bacteria; Pseudomonadati; Pseudomonadota; Gammaproteobacteria; Enterobacterales; Enterobacteriaceae
Description: partial signal recognition particle sRNA small type
Rfam family: Bacterial small signal recognition particle RNA
About the family: The signal recognition particle (SRP) is a universally conserved ribonucleoprotein involved in the co-translational targeting of proteins to membranes. Archaeal SRP consists of a 7S RNA and homologues of the eukaryotic SRP19 and SRP54 proteins. In most bacteria, the SRP consists of a 4.5S RNA and the Ffh protein (a homologue of the eukaryotic SRP54 protein).
Source: RNAcentral